AGGAAUAUUGGUCAAUGGACGCGAGUCUGAACCAGCCAAGUAGCGUGAAGGAUGACUGCCCUAUGGGUUGUAAACUUCUUUUAUAUGGGAAUAAAGUUUUCCACGUGUGGAAUUUUGUAUGUACCAUAUGAAUAAGCAUCGGCUAACUCCGUGCCAGCAGCCGCGGUAAUACGGGGGAUGCAAGCGUUAUCCGGAUUUAUUGGGUUUAAAGGGUGCGUAGGCUGUGAGGUAAGUCAGCGGUGAAAUGCCCCCGCUCAACGGGGUGAAGUGCCAUUGAUACUGCCUUGCUGGAAUGCGGAUGCCGUGGGAGGAAUGUGUGGUGUAGCGGUGAAAUGCAUAGAUAUCACACAGAACACCGAUUGCGAAGGCAUCUCACGAAUCCGCGAUUGACGCUGAUGCACGAAAGCGUGGGUAUCAAACAGG
Molecule: ribosomal RNA, 423 nt
Filed under: uncultured bacterium
Lineage: Bacteria
Description: bacterial SSU rRNA
Rfam family: Bacterial small subunit ribosomal RNA
Source: RNAcentral